Herpailurus yagouaroundi (jaguarundi) is the source of this 2379-nucleotide long non-coding RNA. RefSeq lists it as uncharacterized. The record is from RefSeq and is a predicted model, not a curated record. The transcript has 2 exons. Lineage: Eukaryota; Metazoa; Chordata; Mammalia; Carnivora; Felidae.
CUCCGCAUUCUUAAAGGAACCCUCCCCUUGUCCCCGCCUCUCCCGCCAACACGGGCCCCUCCUGUGUCUGAGAGUCCUGGGAGCACUCCACCAAGGAUGCCUCCCCAGCCCCCAGCAAGCCACUCCUAAACCCUGGCGGCCUGGCUCCCUUCCAGCUCUGCCCGCUGUUUGCUCUUUUCUCAGGCCUCAGGCCCUCUGACUCCCUGUGGCACUGGGCUCUCCAGCCUCCCCACUCCCUCUCAGGGAAGCCAUCCAGAUGGUCAGACCACUCUGCCUCUCUUGACCCCGCUUGGAGCCCAGGGGUUCAUCUCGGAUACUUUCCUCACCCUGACCACAGCCAACUCUUUGUCAGAUUGUAAGGAUUCCCCCUCGGGGUCCUCUUCCCUGCCCCAGUGCCCACAGUGAGUAUCUUUAACAAUGAAACUUAUUUGUCCUCUACCGGACUCCACUCUGGCUUGGAGGAGAACUCCGCCCUUGUCUGAUGCUGGCCUUCGUAGCUAUCUCCCUGCCCCCAGCUGCCCAGCCCAGUCACCCCCCAUUCUCCUGCCACCACUUCCUUAGAAACUUCCAGAUGUUCAUGGCUCCCCAAGUAGACAUUUAGGGACAUUCUGAGCCCUUUGAUGCCUGAUCUGGAUGUCCCUUGCCACUCUUCCCUCCAUUCCCUUUCUGUGCUAGUCCCUUGCUUACCUGACACCAAAGAUCUUACUCCUCCCCCAACACAGGCUACCACUGUCAACAGCAGGCCUUUCAUCUGGCUGGUUCCUGGGGGGGGGGGGGGGGGGGGGGGGGCCGGGCGUGCCCUCACUGUUGCCCCACCUUUCUUCUCUGGAAGCAACAGGGUCCACGUUCCUCUUCAUGAUGAUGGUUGAAGGGCUUGGCUGUUGCAGAUCUUCACGGCUCUAGAAGACUCUUCCCAAAGUAGGGUUGGGGUAUGGGUGCUCAGAGUUAACCCGGGGCAGAAAGGGACUGUUAAUGGCACUGAGCUAAGACCAGGUUGGAUGGGCUCCCGGGUUGGAUGGGUUUCUAUUAUUAACCACAUGGACUAGAAAGAAACCAACCAGGAUGGUGUCUGAGGCUUCCCAGGUCCUGCAGCCCCAGAGAAAGGUUUCUGGGUUAGAGCCACUGCACCAAGGGGCAAGGCCUCUGGGUGAUGACGGUUAUCAGUUGGGCCAGUAAAUGGAAGGCCAGCGAGGAAAGUCUGAGUCAGUCCUUGUGGUUGGAGGUAAGUGUCUCUGCUUUAGAUCCAGCAAGUCUGUUUCUUGGAAUUCCGGGUGUGUUUUUCUGUCUUGUGCUUCAUGGGCACCACGGUGUGGCGGCGAGAGCCUUGUGAACGAACACUCGGUGUCACUGCAGAGUGAGUGACCUGGGCUGUAAAGAUGCGGGGGCAAGUACUGGGGCCAGUACAGAAGAAGGGCCUGAGCCUGAGACCAGGACAGCAUCUGUAAAGGCCAGUAGAGCUGAACGCGUGGAUUUGCAGUACGGGCUUCAAGGUGGAGCACCUGGAGCACCCCAGGGGAUGCAGGAGAGCAGAGCAUUUUUCCUGUAGGUCUGGGCCUUAAAACAGUAUUUCAAAAAUCAAAACUAACUCUCUGUCUCUCUCCCUCCCCCUCCCCCCCUCCCUCUCUCCAAAAGGGGGCUGCAACACCACAGACAACCAAUCCCCGGUGGUGCCUUAGGCGCAAGGCUCCAGGCCAGGCUGAGUGUUGGGCCGCAGCGCCCCCUGGAGGCCCAGGAGAUUCAGGCACUUGGAUCCACUUCAAGGUCAAGUUUUCUGAUAGGAAUUAACAGAGGGACAGAAUAAACAUACUAAAGCAUCCACUAAAUACGGUUGUUCCCGUGUUCCGUGAAGAAUAAGAAAAUGCCUGGGGCCAUUCCAGAAGGUUUCCUUGUGGGUAUGCCCCGGCUCUCAGCCUUCCUCCUGGCUGACUUCCCCUGUUGCCAGGGGAAAGACCCACACUACAGGUGUUCGUCUUGCCUUGGGAUCCCUCCCACUCCCGAAUCUAGGUUGAGUUACUGAGUGUUGAAUAAUACACAAUUGGAGUCAACACUCUGGCAGAGGAGUUGAGCUCCCAUCUCCAAUUUCUGGGCUAAAAGACAGAUUGCAUGUCCCCUCAAUUUUCCUGGUUGUCCACACCCCUACCAGUCACGAACCAUCUCAAAGACAACUAGUCUCACCCUCAUUGAGGCAGAGGAAGGGGACUGUUUUACCUGGUGCAGCAAGAUGUGCUUUGUUCAUCCAGAAGCUUUCAGAGAAGGCCCUGGGACCUGCAGAUUUCCAAACUAAUGCUGUAGCAACAGCCAACACUGUCCCUGGAGGCCGGCCCCUUAGCUACCCACAGGCAGUGGUGGAAAAUCAGAAAUAAAAGCAUGUGUGUGUGA